GGUUUCUCUGUGUAGCCCUGGCUUCCCUGGAACUCACUUUGUAGAUCAUGCUGGCUUCAAAGUGUAUCUGCUUCCUGAGUGCAAAGUUUCUCAAGUGCUAGAAUGACUGCUGUGAUCCAGGUCUGGAACAGCACUGCUUAGCAGAAGGCAUGUGGACACUGAAGUUAUGUGACUGACUGGCCCCUUAGUCAUCGUUCCUGGGAAUUCUGCAGUCCUGGGGAAAAUGCAGUGUCUUCUUACACAUGUCUUUUCAUGCUCUCAUGACGAGAGAGAGAGAGAGAGAGAGAGAGAGAGAGAGAGAGAGAGAGAGAGAGAGAUCACCAGGGGUAAGAUUCUUGUCUAGCAAGCAUGAAGCUCUGCGUGGGGUUCAUCCUCAACAAUGCACAAACUGGGCAGUGUGGCACAUCUGUAAUCCCAGAACUUGGGGACAAGGCAGAGAAAUUAUAAGUUCAAGUCCAUCUUGGCUAUAUAAAAAGUUUGAAAGAACAGCCUGGAAUAUAUGAGACCCUGUCUCAAAAACAGUAAAAUAAAACCACAAUAUCCACAAAGCAAUUGAACUUUGCUUCAGUCCUGUUUCUCAGUGAUCCCAGGAAAGGGCUUUUAUUACAGUCAUGUUAAGAAUAGCAGUUAAUGUUCUGAGCCAGCGACAGUGUGCCUAUUCUUGCUGUCAGUGUGUUAUAUGGAUUCUCUCACUUUAUCCUCACUGCAUCACAGGGCUUUCAGGUACUGUAACUAUUUUCAGUAUAAAAGCCAACCUGAGUCUUGAAGAGUUUUAACUUCACCAAGGCACCAUACUACUAAAAUCACACAUAAAUAAGAGGUGUACAAAGUAUGGAUGAAGUGAGAACUCUGGAGGAAGUAAGGGUUGACAUAUUCUCAAGCCACAGAAAGCCAGUGUUGAGAGUUGGCUACAUGAAUCCCUUUUCCUUUUCUUUUUAAAUCUCUGCAAAUUUAUUAGCAACUUACUGUUCUUUGGAUGAAUAACUGCUUAUUAUUUGUCCCACAGCUAAGCAUAAUGCUUUAGGAGUACAAUUUCAUAAAAGACCUUUAGAUUCUGGAGUUAUGUAGUGUAUA
This is a long non-coding RNA of Mus musculus (house mouse), 1074 nucleotides long. RefSeq annotates it as predicted gene, 30452. The transcript has 4 exons. The record is from RefSeq and is a predicted model, not a curated record. NCBI's taxonomy places the organism in Eukaryota, Metazoa, Chordata, Mammalia, Rodentia, Muridae.